RNAcentral lists this ribosomal RNA (496 nucleotides) under uncultured bacterium. Its description in RNAcentral is "partial 16S ribosomal RNA". It matches the Rfam family "Bacterial small subunit ribosomal RNA", at positions 28 to 506 of the family's 1533-position model. The record is from RNAcentral.
GAUGAACGCUGGCGGCGUGCCUAAUACAUGCAAGUCGAGCGAACAGACGAGGAGCCUGCUCCUCUGACGUUAGCGGCGGACGGGUGAGUAACACGUGGAUAACCUACCUAUAAGACUGGGAUAACUUCGGGAAACCGGAGCUAAUACCGGAUAAUAUAUUGAACCGCAUGGUUCAAUAGUGAAAGACGGUUUUGCUGUCACUUAUAGAUGGAUCCGCGCCGCAUUAGCUAGUUGGUAAGGUAACGGCUUACCAAGGCAACGAUGCGUAGCCGACCUGAGGGGGGGAUCGGCCACACUGGAACUGAGACACGGUCCAGACUCCUACGGGAGGCAGCAGUAGGGAAGCUUCCGCAAUGGGCGAAAGCUUGACGGAGCAACGCCGCGUGAGUGAUGAAGGGCUUCGGAUCGUAAAACUCUGUUAUUAGGGAAGAACAAAUGUGUAAGUAACUAUGCACGUCUUGACGGUACCUAAUCAGAAAGCCACGGCUAACUACGU